Molecule: small RNA, 2103 nt
Filed under: Pongo abelii (Sumatran orangutan)
Lineage: Eukaryota; Metazoa; Chordata; Mammalia; Primates; Hominidae
Description: transcribed unitary pseudogene
Source: RNAcentral
UCAUUAGAUCUCUCAUCUGACUGUGAGUGUCCUAAUUGUUUGGAGGGUCCUCAGAAUGAGUCUGAUUGGAACCCCUGUUCCAAUGAGAGUGGUAAUGGCUCUUUACCUUCAAGAUCAAGAAAGAAAUCCAUGCUUUCUUCUAGCAUGCAGUGCUUUCCUUCUCAGUGUUGUCCCACCAAGCCAGAGAGUGGUAACAAAGAAGACUCAGCAGUUCUUCCCUCAGAUGAGGAAAGCUAUGUGGGGUCUUCUCAAAACAAUCAUCUAAUUUUGAGCCUUGAGGAUAUCAAAAGGAAAAUCAAGCCAUUGAGAGAGUGGACUAUCCACGAGUUACUGAGGGAGUUUGGGAAAAGUGGGAAGUUCAAACCAAACUCCAUGUCCCUGAGCUACUUUAGAGAUCAGGUGGUUAUGAAGUUCAGAAGAGCUCUAUAUUAUUCUGGAAUUUGGGUGAUGCAUAUUCGAGGCUACAAACCUCAAAAGCACUUUACAGUUAAUUAUUUUAAAAGAAACCCUGGUUGCCUACACCGGCUGGUUCCCUGGCUGAAACGGGAACUAACAGCUGUUUAUGGAGAUUAUGGCUACACAGUGAAGAACAUCCUAACCACCAUCCUCCAUCACAUGACAGUAUAUGACUUGGACAGUGAGUCCUUCAUUCACCUCCUGGAACCUUAUCUCUUACAACACACCCACCAUUUCCUACAUGAGUUUAUUAGUUUUUUUCAUCCACCUUACAACAUGGAGACCUAUGACCAGUGAGCCAUCUAUCAAUGCUCUGCUGCUUCACCAUGUGUAAACAAGAAGCCCCUUGUCUCAACUCCUGUUUCACCUCUGCCUAAGGAUCACACUCUACUGAUAUGUCAACAUAAUACAAAGCAGUCUAAAAAUACCCAGGGUCAAUGGAAUAAAGAGGAGAGGCCCCUGUCAGGCUUGAAACAGUUUCCAAAUGGUAACUCUUCCUUGAAGAAAUCUGAAAUCCCACCAGUCUGUGAUAAAACAGUAAGCAAAAUCUAUGGUGGAAUCAAAGACAAAGCAGAAUCAGGUGACCACAAAAGCAUCAUUUCUAUGAAUAAUAUACUCCAGAAGUGGGCUACUCCAAGGGAAACGUGCCCAGGCUUACUGAAUUGCAAAAAAAAAGUUCAAGAGAAAAAGACAGAAGGGAUAAAGUUGUUUCCUGAUCAUGUCCACGAUCUGGGAAAGAGUGACACAACUGCACACACCUUCAGUACCCCAGCAAUUUCUAAUCAGGUGCAACCACAGAAAUAUAGUUUAAGAGAAAGAAAGGAUUUGAGCCUUGGCCAGAAGAUAAACUUUCAGAAAAAAGAAGAAGAAAAUAACAAAUACUCAGAUUCUUCACCAAAGACCUUUCAAAGAUUGUCCAGAGAAAGAUCCUUGAAAAGUUGCAAAUCCAGAGAGAAAGACCCCUCUUGGAGUUGCAUUUCAAAAAAUGCCUUUUCUCCUAAGAGAGAUGGCAGGAAACUGAGUUCUUUCAGAAAAAAGAGGAUGAAGUGUAGACAACCCUCCCAAUUUGUAGAAAUUGGUUCACACUCCAGGAGAAGAAUCCAAAGAAGAUCAAGGUCCAAUACUCACAGAUCCAAAUCCUGGUGUGUUGGAUCUAGAAAGAAAUCUGUAAGCAGAGAAUCGAGUAAUCUCUCUCUGAGAGGAAGUCACAGAAGUGAACACUUCACCCAGAAUAUAUGCUGUGAGCCCUCAAAAGAAAAGCAUGCCCAUGGCAAUGAAUCAGACUAUGGGAGGCCAUCUUCAACCACAAUCCAAUACGUGAAGCUUUCUUCAACUGCUGGGAAGAGACCCAAGUGUCCUUCUAAAAGUGAAGGUACUUCCCAAGCAGGAAGACGCUGUAACAGUCCCACAUGCCUACAGCUCCAGAAACACAGAUCCCCAAGUAAACAAGAGAUAAAGCAAGAAACUACAUUUCCUAGAGCUAGAAGAACCAGAGCAGUUAGUCACAGAAAAACCAAAUGCCAUUAUUCAGACAUACACACCACAGAGGAUGUCAGUGAUGAACUGGGCAAUCUGGAUGAUAUAAGACAAAUGAGUGGUCUCAGUGUGCACCCUCCUGCAGGAGGCAAAUCCACCAAAAACAGCAUU